RNAcentral lists this ribosomal RNA (921 nucleotides) under uncultured microorganism. Its description in RNAcentral is "bacterial SSU rRNA". It matches the Rfam family "Bacterial small subunit ribosomal RNA", at positions 62 to 1003 of the family's 1533-position model. The record is from RNAcentral.
UCGAACGAGAUCUAUCUUCGGAUAGUGAGAGUGGCGAAAGGGUGAGUAACACGUGAGAAACCUGCCCCUGAUUUUAGGAUAGCCCAUAGAAAUGUGGAUUAAUACCAAAUGAUCUUCAGUUGCGCAUGUAACUGGAUGUAAAGUUUUUCGAUCAGGGAUGGUCUCGCGCUCCAUCAGCUUGUUGGUAAGGUAACGGCUUACCAAGGCUACGACGGAUAGGUGGUCUGAGAGGACGAUCACCCACACUGGGACUGAGACACUGCCCAGACUCCUACGGGAGGCUGCAGUCGAGAAUCUUCCGCAAUGCGCGAAAGCGUGACGGAGCGAUGCCGCGUGCCGGAUGAAGGCCUUCGGGUCGUAAACGGCUGUCACUCGGGAUGAAUACAUGACAGUACCGAGAGAGGAAGCCACGGCUAACUACGUGCCAGCAGCCGCGGUAAUACGUAGGUGGCGAGCGUUAUUCGGAUUUAUUGGGCGUAAAGGGUCCGCAGGGGGUAAGAUAAGUUUGAUGUGAAAUCUCGAGGCUCAACCUCGAAACUGCAUUGGAUACUGUCUUACUAGAGUACUGGAGAGGUAAGCGGAAUUCCUGGUGUAGCGGUGGAAUGCGUAGAUAUCAGGAAGAACACCGAUGGCGAAGGCAGCUUACUGGACAGUCACUGACCCUCAUGGACGAAAGCCGGGGUAGCGAAAAGGAUUAGAUACCCUUGUAGUCCCGGCCGUAAACGUUGUAUACUAGAUGUGAGCAGUUUUGACCCUGUUCGUGUCCAAGCUAACGCGUUAAGUAUACCGCCUGGGGAGUACGGCGGCAACGCUAAAACUCAAAGGAAUUGACGGGGGCCCGCACAAGCGGUGGAGCAUGUGGCUUAAUUCGAGGCAACGCGAAGAACCUUACCUGGGUUUGACAUAUACAGGACUACCCAU